GUGAGGAAUAUUGGACAAUGGGCGCAAGCCUGAUCCAGCCAUGCCGCGUGCAGGAAGACGCAUCUAUGGUGUGUAAACUGCUUUUGUACGGGAAGAAACACUCCCUCGUGAGGGAGCUUGACGGUACCGUAAGAAUAAGGAUCGGCUAACUCCGUGCCAGCAGCCGCGGUAAUACGGAGGAUCCAAGCGUUAUCCGGAAUCAUUGGGUUUAAAGGGUCCGUAGGCGGUUUAAUAAGUCAGUGGUGAAAGCCCAUCGCUCAACGAUGGAACGGCCAUUGAUACUGCUAGACUUGAAUUACAAGGAAGUAACUAGAAUAUGUAGUGUAGCGGUGAAAUGCUUAGAUAUUACAUGGAAUACCAAUUGCGAAGGCAGGUUACUACUUGUGGAUUGACGCUGAUGGACGAAAGCGUGGGGAGCGAACAGGAUUAGAAACCCGUGUAGUCC
Molecule: ribosomal RNA, 445 nt
Filed under: uncultured bacterium
Lineage: Bacteria
Description: partial 16S ribosomal RNA
Rfam family: Bacterial small subunit ribosomal RNA
Source: RNAcentral